AAACUUGUCCGGACUACUCCUCAUAAACUAUUGGUGCAAUUUCAUCCAAACUUUACAGGAAUAAUCAGUACCAAGGGUAGUUGUGCAUAUUGUCAGCAUUUUCCGGUUCAAUGAUUUUUGGCAGAGUUAUGGCCCUUUAAUAAUUAUGUCUCCCCCACCUCGGGGGGAGACAUAUUGUUUUUGCCCUGUCCGUCCGUCAGUCCGUCCGUCAGUCCGUCCGUCCGUCAGUCCGUCCGUCCGUCCGUCCGUCCAUUCUUCGUUUCCGGACGAUAACUAGAGUUCCUUUUGACCUACAGCUCUCAAACUUCAUAGGAUGAAUGGUCUUAUUGAGCAGAUGAUCCCUAUUGUUUUUGGGGUCAGUAGGUCAAAGGUCAAGGUCACAGUGACCGUUGGUCAAUUUCUCGUUUCCGGACGAUAACUAGAGUUCCUUUUGACCUACAGCUCUCAAACUUCAUAGGAUGAAUGGUCUUAUUGAGCAGAUGAUCCCUAUUGUUUUUGGGGUCAGUAGUUCAAAGGUCAAGGUCACAGUGACCGUUGGUCAAUUUCUCGUUUCCGGAUGAUAACUAGAGUUCCUUUUGACCUACAGCCCUCAAACUUCAUAGGAUGAUUGGUCUUAUAGAGCAGAUGAUCCCUAUUGUUUUUGGGGUCAGUAGGUCAAAGGUCAAGGUCACAGUGACCGUUGGUCAAUUUCUCAUUUCCGGAUGAUAACUAGAGUUCCUUUUGACCUACAACCCUCAAACUUCAUAGGAUGAUUGGUCUUAUUAAUCAAAUGAUCCCUAUUGUUUUAAUGGUCAGUAGGUCAAAGGUCAAGGUCACAGCGACCGUUGGUUAAUUUCUCCUUUCCGGAUGAUAACUAGAGUUCCUUUAGACCUACAACCCUCAAACUUCAUAGGAUGAUUGGUCUUAUUGAGCAGAUGAUCCCUCUUGUUUAUGGGGUCAGUAGGUCAAAGGUUAAGGUCACAGUGACCAUUGGUCAUUUUCUCAUUUCCGGAUGAUAACUAGAGUUCUUAUCAGUGAGGACAUUUAACUAUUAUUGAUAUAUCAGUGAUAUAUCAGUUGUCUGGUUUUAUAUACUCUGUUCUUUUAUCUCCAUUUCCAUUCCUGUUUCCAUUCACAGUUAUUCUCAGCAGUGGGGGAGACAUGCGCUUUUU
Molecule: long non-coding RNA, 1151 nt
Organism: Ruditapes philippinarum (Manila clam)
Lineage: Eukaryota; Metazoa; Mollusca; Bivalvia; Venerida; Veneridae
Exons: 2
Source: RefSeq, a predicted model, not a curated record